This 486-nucleotide ribosomal RNA is filed under the name uncultured Desulfobulbus sp. Its description in RNAcentral is "bacterial SSU rRNA". It matches the Rfam family "Bacterial small subunit ribosomal RNA", at positions 902 to 1382 of the family's 1533-position model. Lineage: Bacteria; Pseudomonadati; Thermodesulfobacteriota; Desulfobulbia; Desulfobulbales; Desulfobulbaceae. The record is from RNAcentral.
CAAAGGAAGUUGACGGGGGCCCGCACAAGCGGUGGAGUAUGUGGUUAAUUCGAUGCAACGCGAAGAACCUUACCUGGUCUUGACAUCCCGGAGACCCUUAGGAAACUAGGGGGUGCUUCCAUCUGGAAGAAUCUGGAGACAGGUGCUGCAUGGCUGUCGUCAGCUCGUGUCGUGAGAUGUUGGGUUAAGUCCCGCAACGAGCGCAACCCUUGCCUUUAGUUGCCAGCAGUUCGGCUGGGCACUCUAAAGGGACUGCCGGUGUUAAACCGGAGGAAGGUGGGGAUGACGUCAAGUCCUCAUGGCCUUUAUGACCAGGGCUACACACGUACUACAAUGGCCGAUACAAAGGGCAGCGACACUGCGAGGUGAAGCCAAUCCCGUAAAAUCGGUCUCAGUCCGGAUUGGAGUCUGCAACUCGACUCCAUGAAGUUGGAAUCGCUAGUAAUCGUGGAUCAGCAUGCCACGGUGAAUACGUUCCCGGGCCUU